GAUGAAGAACGUAGCGAAAUGCGAUAAGUAAUGUGAAUUGCAGAAUUCAGUGAAUCAUCGAGUCUUUGAACGCACAUUGCGCCCCCUGGUAUUCCGGGGGGCAUGCCUGUCCGAGCGUCAUUGCUGCCCUCAAGCACGGCUUGUGUGUUGGGCCCCCGUCCCCGGUUUCCCCCGGGGACGGGCCCGAAAGGCAGCGGCGGCACCGCGUCCGGUCCUCGAGCGUAUGGGGCUUUGUCACCCGCUCUGUAGGCCCGGCCGGCGCCAGCCGACACCCAACUUUAUUUCUAAGGUUGACCUCGGAUCAGGUAGGGAUACCCGCUGAACUUAAGCAUAUCAAUAAGCGGAUGA
This 348-nucleotide unclassified non-coding RNA is filed under the name soil metagenome. RNAcentral describes it as "partial contains 5.8S ribosomal RNA, internal transcribed spacer 2, and large subunit ribosomal RNA". The stretch from base 1 to 120 matches the Rfam family "5.8S ribosomal RNA", at positions 35 to 154 of the family's 154-position model. The record is from RNAcentral.